GCUCCUCCUUAGCUCCAUGGCCGGCCAUGGCCAUGGAAAGCCACCAAGAUGGAGCUCCCCUCCUUCCUCAAGCUUCCCCUCACCAUGAGAGCAUCUCUCUCACUCUCUUCUCCCCUAACCCUAGAUGAAUCCAGCUCUAUUUCUCCUUUCUCCUCUCACAAGAUUGGAUCUUGAUGCAGGUGCAUGUUGGUCCAAGCAUGGAGAAGCUUGAGCAAUCCUCAGAUCUGAAACUCUUGACCAAAAUCCAAAUCGAGUGAUUCAAAGUUCCACAGAUAGGUAUUGAAAAGAUCUACAACUUGGCGUUGGUCUCAUCCUCAAAUUCAUUACGGAUUUUGCAUGAUCAAGAUCUGGUCAGAUCUGACUUUGUCGAAUUAAACCAGGAGCUUGGAGACGAAUUUUUGAAUGAAAACAACUGGGGGAUACUUAGUUGUGCCAUGGUGAUACCUAGAGAGGCAAUUGCUAAGUCGUGGCACUCUCAUACCUUUACUAGAUGCGAACAAUUUCGGAGGAGAAGAAGAAGAAGUGGAAUCGGACAAGGAUUUUAUUUGUACUGUGGGAAUUCUUAUUUGAUGGAGUUGAAGAAGUCCAGGGACAAAUAAGCCAAG
Molecule: non-coding RNA, 605 nt
Organism: Lolium perenne
Lineage: Eukaryota; Viridiplantae; Streptophyta; Magnoliopsida; Poales; Poaceae
Source: RefSeq, a predicted model, not a curated record